Molecule: ribosomal RNA, 252 nt
Filed under: uncultured bacterium
Lineage: Bacteria
Description: partial 16S ribosomal RNA
Rfam family: Bacterial small subunit ribosomal RNA
Source: RNAcentral
UACGUAGGUGGCAAGCGUUGUCCGGAUUUAUUGGGCGUAAAGCGAGCGCAGGUGGUUUAUUAAGUCUGGUGUAAAAGGCAGUGGCUCAGCCAUUGUAUGCAUUGGAAACUGGUAGACUUGAGUGCAGGAGAGGAGAGUGGAAUUCCAUGUGUAGCGGUGAAAUGCGUAGAUAUAUGGAGGAACACCGGUGGCGAAAGCGGCUCUCUGGCCUGUAACUGACACUGAGGCUCGAAAGCGUGGGGAGCAAACAGG